GGGUUGUGAGGUUAAGCGACUAAGCGUACACGGUGGAUGCCCUGGCAGUCAGAGGCGAUGAAGGGCGUGCUAAUCUGCGAUAAGCGCCGGUAAGGUGAUAUGAACCGUUAUAACCGGCGAUACCCGAAUGGGGAAACCCAGUGUGACUCGUCACACUAUCAUUAACUGAAUCCAUAGGUUAAUGAGGCGAACCGGGGGAACUGAAACAUCUAAGUACCCCGAGGAAAAUAAAUCAACCGAGAUUCCCCCAGUAGCGGCGAGCGAACGGGGAGGAGCCCAGAGCCUGAAUCAGCAUGUGUGUUAGUGGAAGCGUCUGGAAAGGCGCGCGAUACAGGGUGACAGCCCCGUACACAAAAGCGCAUGUGCUGUGAGCUCGAUGAGUAGGGCGGGACACGUGGUAUCCUGUCUGAAUAUGGGGGGACCAUCCUCCAAGGCUAAAUACUCCUGACUGACCGAUAGUGAACCAGUACCGUGAGGGAAAGGCGAAAAGAACCCCGGCGAGGGGAGUGAAAAAGAACCUGAAACCGUGUACGUACAAGCAGUGGGAGCCCCACCACCAAAGCAUUCUCUGGUGUUGAAGGCCCUGCAAAGCAGCAUCGCGGUGGCGGAGCGUCGUUUGCGACGCCCAACACACAAAACAAGCGGUGAGUGCUUUGGGGUGGGGUGACUGCGUACCUUUUGUAUAAUGGGUCAGCGACUUAUAUUCUGUAGCAAGGUUAACCGAAUAGGGGAGCCGGAGGGAAACCGAGUCUUAAUUGGGCGUUAAGUUGCAGGGUAUAGACCCGAAACCCGGUGAUCUAGCCAUGGGCAGGUUGAAGGUUGGGUAACACUAACUGGAGGACCGAACCGACUAAUGUUGAAAAAUUAGCGGAUGACCUGUGGCUGGGGGUGAAAGGCCAAUCAAACCGGGAGAUAGCUGGUUCUCCCCGAAAGCUAUUUAGGUAGCGCCUCGUGAAUUCAUCUCCGGGGGUAGAGCACUGUUUCGGCUAGGGGGUCAUCCCGACUUACCAACCCGAUGCAAACUGCGAAUACCGGAGAAUGUUAUCACGGGAGACACACGGCGGGUGCUAACGUCCGUCGUGAAGAGGGAAACAACCCAGACCGCCAGCUAAGGUCCCAAAGUCAUGGUUAAGUGGGAAACGAUGUGGGAAGGCCCAGAC
RNAcentral lists this ribosomal RNA (1160 nucleotides) under Salmonella enterica. Its description in RNAcentral is "partial 23S ribosomal RNA". It matches the Rfam family "Bacterial large subunit ribosomal RNA", at positions 1 to 1090 of the family's 2925-position model. The record is from RNAcentral. Lineage: Bacteria; Pseudomonadati; Pseudomonadota; Gammaproteobacteria; Enterobacterales; Enterobacteriaceae.